RNAcentral lists this ribosomal RNA (497 nucleotides) under uncultured bacterium. RNAcentral describes it as "partial 16S ribosomal RNA". It matches the Rfam family "Bacterial small subunit ribosomal RNA", at positions 28 to 507 of the family's 1533-position model. The record is from RNAcentral.
GAUGAACGCUGGCGGCGUGCCUAAUACAUGCAAGUCGAGCGAACGGACGAGAAGCUUGCUUCUCUGAUGUUAGCGGCGGACGGGUGAGUAACACGUGGAUAACCUACCUAUAAGACUGGGAUAACUUCGGGAAACCGUAGCUAAUACCGGAUAAUAUUUUGCACCGCAUGGUUCAAAAGUGGAAGACGGUCUUGCUGUCACUUAUAGAUGGAUCCGCGCUGCAUUAGCUAGUUGGUAAGGUAACGGCUUACCAAGGCAACGAUGCAUAGCCGACCUGAGAGGGUGGUCGGCCACACUGGAACUGAGACACGGUCCAGACUCCUACGGGAGGCAGCAGUAGGGAAUCUUCCGCAAGGGGCGAAAGCCUGACGGAGCAACGCCGCGUGAGUGAUGAAGGUCUUCGGAUCGUAAAACUCUGUUAUUAGGGAAGAACAUAUGUGUAAGUAACUGUGCACAUCUUGACGGUACCUAAUCAGAAAGCCACGGCUAACUACGUG